GAGCCUGUGGCUCAAGGAGUAGGGUGCCGGCCUCAUAUGCCGGAGGUGGCAGGUUCA
RNAcentral lists this transfer RNA (57 nucleotides) under Otolemur garnettii (small-eared galago). The record is from Rfam by way of RNAcentral. Lineage: Eukaryota; Metazoa; Chordata; Mammalia; Primates; Galagidae.